Molecule: ribosomal RNA, 253 nt
Filed under: uncultured bacterium
Lineage: Bacteria
Description: partial 16S ribosomal RNA
Rfam family: Bacterial small subunit ribosomal RNA
Source: RNAcentral
UACGAAGGGUGCAAACGUUGCUCGGAAUUAUUGGGCGUAAAGCGCACGUAGGCGGCUCUGCAAGUCCCAUGUGAAAGCCCACGGCUUAACCGUGGAAGUGCAUGGGAAACUGCAGUGCUUGAGUACUUAAGAGGAUCGCGGAAUUCCCGGUGUAGAGGUGAAAUUCGUAGAUAUCGGGAGGAACACCAGUGGCGAAGGCGGCGAUCUGGGAAGAUACUGACGCUGAGGUGCGAAAGCGUGGGGAGCAAACAGG